Plutella xylostella (diamondback moth) is the source of this 1224-nucleotide non-coding RNA. The record is from RefSeq and is a predicted model, not a curated record. Lineage: Eukaryota; Metazoa; Arthropoda; Insecta; Lepidoptera; Plutellidae.
CAAUGGGAGGUUUUCAACCAUAGACAACGUCCAUAGACAAAACCCGACAAUAGAUGGCGCUAGUAAAUCUUCAUACUGAACAGGACUGCAUAUUUUUUUAUAGCCGGCAUGGAUUCGAGUCCUUUCAGCCAAUACAAAAAUCCAUGUUUAUUCCACAGAAUAAUACUAUGAUUAAAUAGUUUGCCUACAAGUUGCCUAUUAGGCAAAUAUUGCCAAAUACAAAUGAUUUCGUAGCAUAACUGGUAUUUGUUGAGAACGUGCAAACUAAUAAUAAUAAAUUGCUGUUAUAUGUAGUUAUACAUAAUAUUAAGUGUGAACUAGUUGAGAUCAUCUGCAUCCUCUGUCCAUGUCCGAGGCGCGACCGCCGUGUGUAAGUAUCAUAAUUAUUCUGAGGCACGUUGGAAGUAAUGAUUUCUCUAUGGUAGAGCAGACAUUAGUAGGUGGGUACUUAGUUUUCUCUACCCACACCACAAAACUAAAGUUUUCCGACUCUCUGAAUAGCAUUUAUAGUAGAUAUGUCGUCGUGUUGUAUUGUAGCUUACUGUAGAGAAAGGGGGGUGCACAAAAUUCCACAAAACGAAACAAGACGGGCGAAAUGGAUGGAAGCAUUAAAAGAAUUAAAGCCUGGAUUAAACAUAAAAAAGCAUUCAAGAAUAUGCCCCGGCCACUUCAAACCAUCAGACUACCUCUUAGGUAAAUCAAGGAAAAUGCUAAAAAAAGAAGCUGUUCCAAGUGUAUUUUUUUGGGAUUAUUCAAUCAAAAUGACUAAAGAAGACCCAACCCAAAAAAAAACCUAUGGAAGAAGUAAGCACAUAUUAUUUACUUACUUAUAACUAUCUUGUAACUUAACUUUGUAUAUAGCUCCCAUCAGACCAUUCAGUUAUAUGCUAGACAAUACACAUAUACAUAUGCUAGACAGUACAGGCAGGGGUAAAUCGUAAUGGCAAGCAAGGGUCCAGGGGGAGUGCAAAGGUCGGUGGGGUAUAGAAGUCACAAAAGUCCAAAAGAAUAGCCAGAGUCGUCGAAAUUAUCACAAAACACAGCACCGGAGACAUUCGCGUGGCUACAAGAGAAACCGAAUGACAUAACAUUUGUUUUGUAGUAGGUCUGUGACAUUUGUCAUCUCCGUUUCCUCAGAAGAAUGUAGCUCACUACUAAAAACGACAGGCCGAAUGCCAUCUAUUGGUCGAUUUUGGAACUACUGGAAAAUCUCCCAUUUUAACC